GAUGAACGCUGGCGGCGUGCCUAAUACAUGCAAGUCGAGCGAACAGACUAGGAGCUUGCUCCUCUGACGUUAGCGGCGGACGGGUGAGUAACACGUGGAUAACCUACCUAUAAGACUGGGAUAACUUCGGGAAACCGGAGCUAAUACCGGAUAAUAUAUUGAACCGCAUGGUUCAAUAGUGAAAGACGGUUUUGCUGUCACUUAUAGAUGGAUCCGCGCCGCAUUAGCUAGUUGGUAAGGUAACGGCUUACCAAGGCAACGAUGCGUAGCCGACCUGAGAGGGGGAUCGGCCACACUGGAACUGAGACACGGUCCAGACUCCUACGGGAGGCAGCAGUAGGGAAUCUUCCGCAAUGGGCGAAAGCUUGACGGAGCAACGCCGCGUGAGUGAUGAAGGUCUUCGGAUCGUAAAACUCUGUUAUUAGGGAAGAACAAAUGUGUAAGUAACUAUGCACGUCUUGACGGUACCUAAUCAGAAAGCCACGGCUAACUACGUG
RNAcentral lists this ribosomal RNA (497 nucleotides) under uncultured bacterium. RNAcentral's name for it is "partial 16S ribosomal RNA". It matches the Rfam family "Bacterial small subunit ribosomal RNA", at positions 28 to 507 of the family's 1533-position model. The record is from RNAcentral.